AAAAACUCCGGUGGUAUACGAUGGAUCCGCGUCUGAUUAGCUUGUUGGCGGGGUAAAGGCCCACCAAGGCGACGAUCAGUAGCCGGCCUGAGAGGGUGAACGGCCACAUUGGGACUGAGACACGGCCCAAACUCCUACGGGAGGCAGCAGUGGGGAAUAUUGCACAAUGGGGGAAACCCUGAUGCAGCGACGCCGCGUGAGUGAAGAAGUAUUUCGGUACGUAAAGCUCUAUCAGCAGGGAAGAAAAUGACGGUACCUGACUAAGAAGCCCCGGCUAACUACGUGCCAGCAGCCGCGGUAAUACGUAGGGGGCAAGCGUUAUCCGGAUUUACUGGGUGUAAAGGGAGCGUAGACGGCAGCGCAAGUCUGGAGUGAAAUCCCAUGGCUUAACCAUGGAACUGCUUUGGAAACUGUGCAGCUAGAGUGCAGGAGAGGUAAGCGGAAUUCCUAGUGUAGCGGUGAAAUGCGUAGAUAUUAGGAGGAACACCAGUGGCGAAGGCGGCUUACUGGACUGUAACUGACGUUGAGGCUCGAAAGCGUGGGGAGCAAACAGGAUUAGAUACCCUGGUAGUCCACGCUGUAAACGAUGAUUACUAGGUGUUGGGGGACCAAGGUCCUUCG
Molecule: ribosomal RNA, 621 nt
Filed under: uncultured bacterium
Lineage: Bacteria
Description: bacterial SSU rRNA
Rfam family: Bacterial small subunit ribosomal RNA
Source: RNAcentral